ACGUAGGGUGCGAGCGUUAAUCGGAAUUACUGGGCGUAAAGCGUGCGCAGGCGGAUUGUUAAGCAAGAUGUGAAAUCCCCGGGCUUAACCUGGGAAUGGCAUUUUGAACUGGCAGUCUAGAGUGUGUCAGAGGGGGGUGGAAUUCCACGUGUAGCAGUGAAAUGCGUAGAUAUGUGGAGGAACACCAAUGGCGAAGGCAGCCCCCUGGGAUAACACUGACGCUCAUGUACGAAAGCGUGGGUAGCAAACAGGAUUAGAUACCCUGGUAGUCCACGCCCUAAACGAUGUCAACUGGUUGUUGGGGGAGUGAAAUCCCUUAGUAACGAAGCUAACGCGUGAAGUUGACCGCCUGGGGAGUACGGUCGCAAGAUUA
This 373-nucleotide ribosomal RNA is filed under the name uncultured bacterium. Its description in RNAcentral is "bacterial SSU rRNA". It matches the Rfam family "Bacterial small subunit ribosomal RNA", at positions 525 to 896 of the family's 1533-position model. The record is from RNAcentral.